CUAAGGUGACUCCUUAUCAAGGAAGUAAUCUGCAGACUAUCUUUGUUUAAACUUGCAACCUGCUUUGUCAAGGAAAACUGCCUAUGAAAUUUUCAUUAUAAUAGACAGCUUUUCAUAAUGAAUGAAAAACAGCUAUUAUGAUUGAAAACAAAUUGCUCUGAAACAUAUUCUUUGAAACAAUGUGCUGCUUAAUUGUAUUUUGGAGGAGGGGGAGGCUAAGGCAAUUCUGUUUAAUUGGUUACAUUUUUCAGUUCUAUAAAUUAAUUUGCACUACCCAAUAUCACUUAAUUUUUCCCUAGGAAAGCUUUUGCUUGCCCUAGCAAUAUUAUAACUGCUAAUUCAAUUACACUGAAAUUGUUUAAUAGAAAAUAUAAUUGCUUAUUCAUACAGAAUACCCAUUAAAGAAGUGCAAAAGCGUGAACCUGAGGGUUAGUGCAUAUUAAUACUUUGGGAAUAAAGAUGGGAAUGUUGUGCAGAGAAGGUACUGGCUGAUCUUUAAUUGUUCAUCACCUGCCUCCAAAAUAAUAUGAAUGGACCCAAACUAAAUGACCACUCAUUACAAGUUUCAAUUUAGGAGCUUGGCUGGGGUCAGCAGAUUGCUUAUGCUGAUCUCAAUGAUUUGAAGUUGUGAUUACCAUAAGCAAUUUAAAUUUUAUUGAUCUCCCCUUCUGAAAGUUGUAAUUGAGCAUAGAUGUUGGACCCAGAGCUCUCCAAACUAAAUUGUACUCUGAAGCACUUGCUGGAUUCCUGCAAGAAUCAAUAAGCAGUCAGUCACAUUAACAAUGAAAUAGGUCCAUUAACAUACGGUGCUAUUGGUGAAACUUUAUUUAGGAAGGGUGUUAGUUCACUUCAUUGUUUUAUCAAUGGAUCUUGGCUGUACACAGAAAAGUAUUGCUUUAAUAUGUGUAAUAAACUUGUAUGAAAAUGAAAUUACAUUUUAUAAAUAUAUGGAAUGAGACUAGGUAGGCAGUUGAGUCCUUAUAUGAGAGUCAUUGUGAUUCAUAUCAUCAUUUUACUGUAAACAGAGGUUUUAUAUGACUGGAAUUGCAGCUUGCUUGCCGCAGUGCUUUGCAGUAAUUCUGAAUUUUUAUUCCUCCUUAUUAGAUACAGGGUUUCCCUCCAUCAAGGUUAAGUACGUCUCGAAGUCUCCAUGUUCAGUGGUAAUUAUACAAUUAAAAAAGUAAACAUAAACCUGGUGUGGUGGUUCAUGCCUGUGACCUCAGCAUUCUGGGAGAUCGAGAAGCACUUUUACUGAGCACCCACCAAGUCAAAAGGAGCAUUUCAAGUGCUCUGGAACCUUCUGCUUUCAUUUACUAAUAAUCCUCAAACAGAAUGUCUGCUUCCGACAUUGGCUUCUGAAAUAGAACAGAAUCUUAAUUAGCUCAUGAGAAACUCCUACUUAAGUAGUCUUAGAGCAAAUGGACUCAUUUCCUUCUCUAAUAGAUCCUCCUGUUGUUUGACUGUGAUGAGAAUGGUCUUUUAAAAGAGGCCUCAGGUGUGAAACCAACUGUUCAGGCUCAUUGUCAGCUGCCGGCUCCUAGAGUAUUAAUUCAAAAUUAGCGAAAAUAUAAGACUAUGUCUACAUUGGCCAACUCUACUGCAAAAUUGAGCAAUUUUCAGUUAAGGGUGCAGCAUCCUCUACAAUGCCCUUGAGGAAGAUUCAGAAGCUCAUUCUACUUCCAUCUGCUUCCAUCAUUAGAGAAAGAAGUUGAUUAAUUCAACCUCUCUAACAAUAAGAACGGAUGCUGUUAAACUAAAAGGGUGGUGGUGAUCCAACUUCAUUCACGGUAGAUGAGAAACUCCUGGGGGGAUGGCAGAAAAACAGAAAGUAUUUUGCAGGAAGAAGAGCCUUCUCAUGGGAAAGUUGUUGAAUUUGGUCCGAAUAAACAGGGUUUGCCUAUGCAGCGAUGGUUUUUUGGGAGAAGGUUUUUCUGUUAUUUGUAUUAGCUGAUCUUCAUCAUAAUAAAAUGACCUUGGAUGGGUAACUUUUCUGACUUAGACUGGCG
Long non-coding RNA from Heterocephalus glaber (naked mole-rat), 2006 nucleotides. The record is from Ensembl. NCBI's taxonomy places the organism in Eukaryota, Metazoa, Chordata, Mammalia, Rodentia, Bathyergidae.